UAUGGUUGUGCCAGCAGCCGCGGUAAUACGGAGGAUGCGAGCGUUAUCCGGAUUUAUUGGGUUUAAAGGGAGCGCAGACGGGAGAUUAAGUCAGUUGUGAAAGUUUGCGGCUCAACCGUAAAAUUGCAGUUGAUACUGGUUUCCUUGAGUGCAGUUGAGGCAGGCGGAAUUCGUGGUGUAGCGGUGAAAUGCUUAGAUAUCACGAAGAACCCCGAUUGCGAAGGCAGCUUGCUAAACUGUAACUGACGUUCAUGCUCGAAAGUGUGGGUAUCAAACAGG
This 279-nucleotide ribosomal RNA is filed under the name Phocaeicola coprocola DSM 17136. Its description in RNAcentral is "partial 16S ribosomal RNA". It matches the Rfam family "Bacterial small subunit ribosomal RNA", at positions 498 to 776 of the family's 1533-position model. Lineage: Bacteria; Pseudomonadati; Bacteroidota; Bacteroidia; Bacteroidales; Bacteroidaceae. The record is from RNAcentral.